Molecule: ribosomal RNA, 424 nt
Filed under: Verrucomicrobiota bacterium
Lineage: Bacteria; Pseudomonadati; Verrucomicrobiota
Description: Verrucomicrobia bacterium partial 16S ribosomal RNA
Rfam family: Bacterial small subunit ribosomal RNA
Source: RNAcentral
UGAGGAAUAUUUGUCAAUGGGCGAGAGCCUGAACCAGCCAAGUAGCGUGCAGGAUGACGGCCCUAUGGGUUGUAAACUUCUUUUAUGUGGGGAUAAAGUGCGUGACGUGUCAUGCAUUGCAGGUACCACAUGAAUAAGGACCGGCUAAUUCCGUGCCAGCAGCCGCGGUAAUACGGAAGGUCCGGGCGUUAUCCGGAUUGAUUGGGUUUAAAGGGAGCGUAGGCUGUCUAUUAAGCGUGUUGUGAAAUAUACCGGCUCAACCGGUGGCUUGCAGCGCGAACUGGCAGACUUGAGUGCGCACAACGUAGGAGGAAUUCAUGGUGUAGCGGUGAAAUGCUUAGAUAUCAUGACGAACUCCGAUGGCGAAGGCGGCUUACGGGAGCGCAACUGACGCUAAAGCUCGAAGGUGCGGGUAUCGAACAGG